AGAAAUCAACACUUGGUGUUCCCCAGUGAAAGCAGCGAGUUUUCACGGUGACUGUGGUGACGAAUCACCCGAAGAAAA
Long non-coding RNA from Xiphophorus couchianus (Monterrey platyfish), 78 nucleotides. RefSeq lists it as uncharacterized. Lineage: Eukaryota; Metazoa; Chordata; Actinopteri; Cyprinodontiformes; Poeciliidae. The record is from RefSeq and is a predicted model, not a curated record. The transcript has 2 exons.